GUGCUUGCUUCAGCAGCACCUAUACUAAAAUUGGAAUGAUAGCACAGCCCUUGAGCAAGGAUGACAAGCAGAUUUGUGAAGCAUUCCAUAUUUUU
RNAcentral lists this small nuclear RNA (95 nucleotides) under Otolemur garnettii (small-eared galago). The record is from RNAcentral. Lineage: Eukaryota; Metazoa; Chordata; Mammalia; Primates; Galagidae.